This 1036-nucleotide ribosomal RNA is filed under the name uncultured Acidobacteriota bacterium. Its description in RNAcentral is "bacterial SSU rRNA". It matches the Rfam family "Bacterial small subunit ribosomal RNA", at positions 9 to 1060 of the family's 1533-position model. The record is from RNAcentral. Lineage: Bacteria; Pseudomonadati; Acidobacteriota.
AAGCUUGAUCCUGGCUCAGAGCGAACGCUGGCGGCGUGCUUAACACAUGCAAGUCGAGUGCGCGCCUGUAGCAAUACAGGUGGCGCACGGCGCACGGGUGCGUAACACGUGGGUAACCUGCCCUUUGGUGGGGAAUAACUUCGCGAAAGCGAAGCUAAUUCCGCAUAAGAUCCGCAAGGAUGAAAGCCGAAAGGCGCCGAAGGAGGGGCCCGCGCACGAUUAGCUAGUUGGUAGGGUAACGGCCUACCAAGGCUAUGAUCGUUAGCUGGUCUGAGAGGAUGGCCAGCCACACUGGAACUGAGACACGGUCCAGACUCCUACGGGAGGCAGCAGUGGGGAAUCUUGCACAAUGGGCGAAAGCCUGAUGCAGCGACGCCGCGUGGGGGAUGAAGCUUCUCGGAGUGUAAACCCCUUUCGACCCGGACGAAUGCCCCGCAAGGGGACUGACGGUACGGGUAUAAGAAGCCCCGGCUAACUACGUGCCAGCAGCCGCGGUAAUACGUAGGGGGCCAGCGUUGCUCGGAAUUACUGGGUGUAAAGGGUUCGUAGGCGGUGCGGCAAGUUGGAAGUGAAAUCUCUGGGCUCAACCCAAAGGCUGCUUUCAAAACUGCUGUGCUUGAGUGUGGGAGAGGCGCGUGGAAUUGCAGGUGUAGCGGUGAAAUGCGUAGAUAUCUGCAGGAACACCCGUGGCGAAAGCGGCGCGCUGGACCACAACUGACGCUGAGGAACGAAAGCUAGGGGAGCAAACAGGAUUAGAUACCCUGGUAGUCCUAGCCCUAAACGAUCAGGACUUGGGGUGGCUCACGUUCGUGAGUCGUCCCGGAGCUAACGCGUUAAGUCCUGCACCUGGGGAGUACGGUCGCAAGACUGAAACUCAAAGGAAUUGACGGGGGCCCGCACAAGCGGUGGAACAUGUGGUUCAAUUCGACGCUACGCGAGGAACCUUACCUGGGCUCGAAAUGCUCUUGACCAGCUGUAGAAAUAUGGCCUUCCCGCAAGGGACAAGAGUAUAGGCGCUGCAUGGCUGUCGUCGGAU